AUUGAACGCUGGCGGCAUGCUUUACACAUGCAAGUCGAACGGUAACAGGCCUUCGGGUGCUGACGAGUGGCGAACGGGUGAGUAAUGCAUCGGAACGUGCCCAUAUGUGGGGGAUAACGCAGCGAAAGCUUUGCUCAUACAGCAUGUGAUCUGUGGAUGAAAGCGGGGGACCACGCAACACUGUUUGGCCUCACGCCUCUGGAGCGGCCGAUGUCAGAUUAGCUAGUUGGUGGGGUAAAGGCCUACCAAGCCGACGAUCUGUAGCUGGUCUGAGAGGACGACCAGCCACACUGGAACUGAGACACGGCCCAGACUCCUACGGGAGGCAGCAGUGGGGAAUUUUGGACAAUGGGCGCAAGCCUGAUCCAGCAAUGCCGCGUGAGGGAAGAAGGCCUUCGGGUUGUAAACCGCUUUUGUACGGAAAGAAAAGGCUCUGGCUAAUACCUGGGGCUGAUGACGGUACCGUAAGAAUAAGCACCGGCUAACUACGUG
Molecule: ribosomal RNA, 492 nt
Filed under: uncultured bacterium
Lineage: Bacteria
Description: partial 16S ribosomal RNA
Rfam family: Bacterial small subunit ribosomal RNA
Source: RNAcentral